RNAcentral lists this ribosomal RNA (825 nucleotides) under Cassava frogskin disease phytoplasma. RNAcentral describes it as "bacterial SSU rRNA". It matches the Rfam family "Bacterial small subunit ribosomal RNA", at positions 454 to 1287 of the family's 1533-position model. Lineage: Bacteria; Bacillati; Mycoplasmatota; Mollicutes; Acholeplasmatales; Acholeplasmataceae. The record is from RNAcentral.
GAGUGGAAAAACUCCCUUGACGGUACUUAAUGAAUAAGCCCUGGCUAAUUAUGUGCCAGCAGCCGCGGUAAUACAUAAGGGGCGAGCGUUAUCCGGAAUUAUUGGGCGUAAAGGGUGCGUAGGCGGUUUAAUAAGUCUAUAGUUUAAUUUCAGCGCUUAACGCUGUUGCGCUAUAGAAACUGUUUUACUAGAGUGAGUUAGAGGCAAGCGGAAUUCCAUGUGUAGCGGUAAAAUGCGUAAAUAUAUGGAGGAACACCAGAGGCGUAGGCGGCUUGCUGGGACUUUACUGACGCUGAGGCACGAAAGCGUGGGGAGCAAACAGGAUUAGAUACCCUGGUAGUCCACGCCGUAAACGAUGAGUACUAAGUGUCGGGUAAAACCGGUACUGAAGUUAACACAUUAAGUACUCCGCCUGAGUAGUACGUACGCAAGUAUGAAACUUAAAGGAAUUGACGGGACUCCGCACAAGCGGUGGAUCAUGUUGUUUAAUUCGAAGAUACACGAAAAACCUUACCAGGUCUUGACAUUUUCUUGCGAAGUUAUAGAAAUAUAAUGGAGGUUAUCAGGAAAACAGGUGGUGCAUGGUUGUCGUCAGCUCGUGUCGUGAGAUGUUAGGUUAAGUCCUAAAACGAGCGCAACCCUUGUCGUUAAUUGCCAGCAUGUAAUGAUGGGGACUUUAACGAGACUGCCAAUGAAAAAUUGGAGGAAGGUGGGGAUUACGUCAAAUCAUCAUGCCCCUUAUGAUCUGGGCUACAAACGUGAUACAAUGGUUGAUACAAAGAGUAGCUGAAACGCGAGUUCUUAGCCAAUCUCACAAAAUCAAUC